UCUUCCUUCCCUUACCCUCUCUUCUCUCCUUUCCCCUUCCCUCCCUCCUGCCCUCUCCCCUCUCCUUCCCUCCCUCCCUCUCUUCCCUGACAGCACUUCCUUGAGGUGAGGAGGGCGUCCCGGAACUUGGGGCUUCAGCCUUGACCUAGCACGGGUCCCCAAUGCUCAGAGCCAGGCUUCAAAGGGGGAUCCGCGCUUCACACAUCAGCCCUUGUGAUGUCCUUGACUUACGGAGGGGAGUGCAGCCCCAGGUUACCUCCAACAGCCUGGUCAACCUUCCAACCUCCAGCAGCCUGGUGAACCUUCCAACCUCCAGCAGCCUGGUCAACCUUCCAACCUCCAGCAGCCUGGUCAACCUUCCAACCUCCAGCAGCCUGGUCAACCUUCCUACCAGCAGACACCUAGCUCCACUGUCACAAAGGGGCUUGGCCGGCUGGAGUAGUAUGAAUUCCCCUCGUCUCCCUCAGCCCCACUCCCUUUCAGCUGGCUCUCGGCUGGGGUGAGCACCCAUGACACACACAGUACCCAGGCGCAGCCAGCAUGCGUGGCGCCCAGUGCACAGAAGUGACCUGGGCAGAGUGCACACAGCUCAAGCCCCUUUUGUGUGGCUCUAGCAGAGUCCCAGGCCUGCCUCCCCCGGGCCCGAACUGGUCACAUGAUGAUGCAGGCGACACAGGUCUGUGGAGCCUCUGCCUCUGGAGGGACAGUGGAGGUCUGCCCCCCAAACUUCAAAUUGCCAAGGGGAGGGAGAGCUGAGUGAGGAAAGGUAAGUGGAGGGUAUCUUGAUCAGAGUGUCCUGGCAUCUAUGACUACUCUGUCAUGUCUGCCGGUGACACAGGCUCUCUUUAUUCCUGUGUGUGCAAGGAAUAGGAAACCUGAAAUUCCUAGGACUUAGGUGUGGCAUCCAUAAUGAGGACCAGCAAGAAGGAGCCAGACCUGGCAGAACCCUCUCCAGGCCAUGAGGGCUCCACUGAGGAGGAAGCCAGUGGUUCCAAGGGAGGCUCUUCCCUGAGGUGACAGAGUCCCCUCUCAGUGUGGGGACUUCACCAGAGGGAAGGUGUCCAUAAAGUCAUCAGGCCUGGCCCCAGACAAACAGGGCUUUAUGGUUAAAUGAGGUUAACCCUUAACUCUCCAGUUCUCUGGGUUUCACAAGCCUGCUGCCCCCUCGCCCACGUGGAUAGGCUUUAUUCACCGUGUGUGGCCAGAAAACCCGUGAUCUUGCCAUGUGCAGCUAGCCUGAACUUGGCCACUUUCUCUGAGGACCCCAUCCAUUUCUCUUCUGUCUGAUGCUAAGCCACCCCUCCAGCCUGCUCAGGGACCACCAUCACCUGCUGAUGAGGACACUGUUGGACGCCACCCCUCGUCCUCUGCCCUGCCUUCAGAUGGCACCUCUCAUGUCAUUAGCUUGGAUACUAAUUUUUAUUCUUCCUGUGUAAGGUUUUUAACCUGCUUGUGUGUCAAUGCACCACAAGCAUGCCUGGUACCAGCAGAGGCCAGCAGAGGGUGUCAGAUUCUAGUUAUAGACUGUGAUUGAGGUGACAGUUGUGAGCUCCCAUGUGGGUACUGGGAAUCGAACCCAAGUUCUCUGAAAGAGCAACCAGUGCUCUUAACCACUGAGCCAUCUCUCCUGGCUUUGCUGCUGUUCCUUAAAACACUGGCUUAUCAGCACAGGCUUAUCAGCUGUCCAUAGUGCUGGCCAGGAUGCCCUAGGAGCUUAUAUUAUGUGGCCCAUUUGUGACGCACUAGUGUGCCACUGGUCUGUGGGUCAGCUAUGCGGUUGUCCAGCCCCCAGCACCCCCAUGGCAGGCAACGUCUCUCGUUUCUUUGUGCUUCUGCCUCCUGACCUGUACCUGACAGGCGGCAGCAGGCACCACUCUUCUCACGGGCUCUGCAGCUCAGGGACUUGAUACGGUGUAGUCUGGAUCCGUGGGCACUCAGCCGGACCAGCUGCAGUCGCUGGUCCUCUGCCUGCCAUGCAGGUUCUGCCAACCAGGUCAGAUGGAGAAAACGCCUCCCCCACGGGAAAAAGGGCAGCCGGGGCCAGCAGGGUUCGGAGUGGACAGUCCUGGGCCUGGAGCCUGUUUGCUUGUGCUCAGGCCCAGCUUCCCGGCCUUGACCCCUCCAGACUCUGCAAAGGAAGGAGUUGAGGUGGCGUCUAGCACCCAAGCAAGCUCCACCAGGGCAGACAGCUGGCAUCUGCAGGGCCUGUGAUCUUUCCUUUAGGCUGGCCCUGUAAUUGGGAUAUGUCUGAGGUUGCCUGAGAACCGGGGUGACAGGCUUGGGGGUGCCCUCUGGGUCAGGGCUACUGUUGUCCUCCCUGGGAGUCUGCUCCAGAUGCUGAUUGGGCCAGGAAGGGGGGAUGGGGCCUGGGGGCAGUGUGAGGUGACCCUUUUCUAUGGACAGUCCUGUGUCCCAGCCACUAUUAGCAGGGACCUGUUAAUGAAAAUUCACACCCAGGUGCUAAUAAACAGUGGGCUGCUCCCAGGCCCUCAGAGAAGAGGCCCUGUGCAGGGAAAGGGGUUGGUCAAUGAGCUCCACUUAGCUGUGAAAAGACUUGCUAAUAACCUUAAUUCCCCAUCCUAAAACACUGGGCCUUUACUUUGCAAAUAGAUUUUCCACACUGGGUUGGCUCCAGGCCAGGAAGACUUCUUCCUGUCCUGAACCAGUUAAGGUACUGGGAGGAGAGUGUCAACCGGAGUUAGAAGUAUUGGAAAAGGGAGUGACCAGUGAAGGUGCGAGAUCCCCCACCCCCUGGUAAUCUCCUCUGGGCCACUCUCUCUGCAGCCAAACACCAGCUUUGUAUAAACUACUCAGGCUUGGACCCUAGAGCUUCAGAACAGAACCCCCCACCCCAGCAUGACCUCCCCUCCUGGCCUGAGCCAGAGUUCUGGAAAAGAUCCCCCAGGUGCCUCCCUUCUCCGCUGCUUAUUCCCGAUCGGAAUUUCACCAGCACAGGUCAGCAAUCAGCAAGACCUCCAAGGAAAACUUCCCUACCAAUGGUAUUUCUAUCUCCGGGCCACGUGGGAGGGAAGUCCUAGCACGGGGACAAUGUCCCGUGCAGCCCCGCUGCCCAGAAUGAAGAGACACGCGCUCUCCUCCCGUGGCUGAGCGCUCCAAUGCCCGCGUCCUACAUGGCCCGAGUCUUGACCUUUAAAGGUAAGAAGACACAAGGCACCGAUGGAGUUGGAUUUCUUACAGUGUUCUGGUUUUAUCCAGUUUCUCCCUAAGUUCAAAAGAGGUGAACUACUUCCUGCCACCUGAGAGCAGCCAGCCCACUCCCCUCCCCUCCACCCCUUGCAGACUGACCCACAGAGAGAUGUCGAGAAUGGAGGGAGGGGCGACGGCGCGGGACCCACAAACACCAACGACACCAGCACAAACGGUUUAUUCACAAAUAAAUAAAUACACACCA
Mesocricetus auratus (golden hamster) is the source of this 3412-nucleotide long non-coding RNA. RefSeq lists it as uncharacterized. The transcript is spliced from 2 exons. NCBI's taxonomy places the organism in Eukaryota, Metazoa, Chordata, Mammalia, Rodentia, Cricetidae. The record is from RefSeq and is a predicted model, not a curated record.